GCUUACCAUGUUCAUCACCAUUAAUCCUUCCAUUUUCAUAUUUCUUUUUCUUAUUUAAAAUAUUUUCUUCGUCCAUAAAAUUACCCAAAAAUAUUUUUCACUUUUUUUAACGUUUUAUUUAAUUUUAUAUAAUUUUUAUUUUCGUAUUUUUUUAUUAUUAAUAUUUUAUUUUAAUUAUUUAUUCUAAAUGGUCCAUUUCAACACACUUAUUUCUAUUGAUUUUAUUUUCAUGACUUAAAAUUAUUUUUAGCUUUUGAUUUUUGGGAUGAAGGUUGACCACUGUCUCAUGGUCAACCUGAC
RNAcentral lists this long non-coding RNA (300 nucleotides) under Lathyrus oleraceus (garden pea). RNAcentral describes it as "Pisum sativum (pea) long non-coding RNA (PSAT_LNC004458)". The record is from RNAcentral. Lineage: Eukaryota; Viridiplantae; Streptophyta; Magnoliopsida; Fabales; Fabaceae.